RNAcentral lists this non-coding RNA (45 nucleotides) under Pararhodobacter sp. CCB-MM2. RNAcentral's name for it is "SAM-SAH-Weickhmann-2018 RNA". It matches the Rfam family "SAM/SAH riboswitch aptamer". Lineage: Bacteria; Pseudomonadati; Pseudomonadota; Alphaproteobacteria; Rhodobacterales; Paracoccaceae. The record is from RNAcentral.
CCGUCACAACGGCUUCCUGGCGUGACGGCGACACCUAAUGGAGCA